RNAcentral lists this ribosomal RNA (446 nucleotides) under uncultured bacterium. RNAcentral describes it as "bacterial SSU rRNA". It matches the Rfam family "Bacterial small subunit ribosomal RNA", at positions 15 to 507 of the family's 1533-position model. The record is from RNAcentral.
GAUCAUGGCUCAGAACGAACGCUGGCGGCAUGCUUAACACAUGUAAGUCGAACGAGACCUUCGGGUCUAGUGGCGCACGGGUGCGUAACGCGUGGGAAUCUGCCCUUUGCUACGGAAUAACUCAGAGAAAUUUGUGCUAAUACCGUAUAAUGUCGUAAGACCAAAGAUUUAUCGGCAAAGGAUGAGCCCGCGUAAGAUUAGCUUGUUGGUGAGGUAAAGGCUCACCAAGGCGACGAUCUUUAGCUGGUCUGAGAGGAUGAUCAGCCACACUGGGACUGAGACACGGCCCAGACUCCUACGGGAGGCAGCAGUGGGGAAUAUUGGACAAUGGGCGAAAGCCUGAUCCAGCAAUGCCGCGUGAGUGAUGAAGGCCUUAGGGUUGUAAAGCUCUUUUACCAGGGAUGAUAAUGACAGUACCUGGAGAAUAAGCUCCGGCUAACUCCGUG